Long non-coding RNA from Oncorhynchus gorbuscha (pink salmon), 921 nucleotides. RefSeq lists it as uncharacterized. The record is from RefSeq and is a predicted model, not a curated record. Lineage: Eukaryota; Metazoa; Chordata; Actinopteri; Salmoniformes; Salmonidae. The transcript has 3 exons.
UAAAUCAAAGGUCAUUAGAUGCUGUAUAUUGCUAAAUAGAUGAGAGAAAUUGAUUGGUAGUUUGAAGGAUUUACUGUUUCAUUGAUUUGCCAGAGGCAGAGAUAAUGGGGAAGAGAGAAAGAGAAAGAGAGAAACUCAGGAAGUCAACAGGGGAAGUUUAGUGGUUUCUUACGUCAAUGCUUGCUGUUGCUUGGUUGUGCCGGUGCAGAGUGAAGAGUUGGUUGUGUGUGGAGAUUCCAAGGGAAUCGUGGUUCAAGCAGCCACCAAACAUCAACUCUUGGAGCAGCAAGAAACCUGUGUGUGUGUGGGUCCUGUUAUGGUCUUGGAGUUGAACCCACACUGCUCCAGUGAACUGGUGUGUGGCGAUGCACUGGGCCAGCUCUACUUCCUCUCCUGGAGAGAAUAACCACCCUGUGUACACACACAGUCCAUUGUAUACACACACUGCUCCAUAUACAUCUAAUCAUAAUUAACUAACUCUAACACGGAUAUGUCAGUACUACUGUAAUCGAAUGCAUAUUCUCUCAGGCAGCUCCAUCAAUGUUAUCUUCUACACACUAUCUAAUAUGCAUACUCUUUAUAUCUAAUACCUCUACUUAUAUAUGUACGUGCCUUAAAAACACGUACAAGUGAAGAACCUCAAUGUAAAUCAGCUAUAAUGCAUAUUAUUUUAAGUUUACAUUAAACUAGAUUAUUGUCCUUGAUCCCCAGCUGUGUCAAACAAGAUAUAUCCCUUUAAUAAAUAAUAUACCACAUUUUCAGAAUGGUUUCAUUAGGUUGUGUGGAUGACAACAGAGAUGGCAAUAUUUUAAAUGUUUAACAAUUUCCUGACACCUGUGUUCAAUUCUUUAUAAAUGCAUUAUUAGACUCAUAAGGAACCAUAACUUUGAAUAAUGGUUGAAUAAACUGUUUUUUAUUUUA